This 753-nucleotide ribosomal RNA is filed under the name uncultured eukaryote. Its description in RNAcentral is "bacterial SSU rRNA". It matches the Rfam family "Eukaryotic small subunit ribosomal RNA", at positions 672 to 1403 of the family's 1831-position model. The record is from RNAcentral.
GGCGUGUACUGCUUGGCUGGGCCUUACUUCUUGGUGAGCCGGCGUGCCCUUUAUUGGUGUGCGUCGGGGAACCAGGACUUUUACCUUGAGAAAAUUAGAGUGUUCAAAGCAGGCCUAUGCCUGAAUACAUUAGCAUGGAAUAUAGAUAGGACGUGCGGUUCUAUUUUGUUGGUUUCUAGAGUCGCAGUAAUGAUUAUAGGGACAGUUGGGGGCAUUGGUAUUGAGUCGCUAGAGGUGAAAUUCUUGGAUUGACUCAAGACCGACUAUUGCGAAAGCAUUUGCCAAGGAUGUUUUCAUUAAUCAAGAACGAAAGUUAGAGGUUCGAAGGCGAUCAGAUACCGCCCUAGUUCUAACCAUAAACGAUGCCAGCUAGCGAUCCGCCGAAGUUCCUCCGAUGACUCGGCGGGCAGCUUCCGGGAAACCAAAGCUUUUGGGUUCCGGGGGAAGUAUGGUUGCAAAGCUGAAACUUAAAGGAAUUGACGGAAGGGCACCACCAGGAGUGGAGCCUGCGGCUUAAUUUGACUCAACACGGGAAACCUCACCAGGCCCAGACACCGGAAGGAUUGACAGAUUGAUAGCUCUUUCUUGAUUCGGUGGGUGGUGGUGCAUGGCCGUUCUUAGUUGGUGGAGCGAUUUGUCUGGUUAAUUCCGAUAACGAACGAGACUCUAGCCUGCUAAAUAGGCGUACCUUAUGGUAUCGCGAAGGCCCCCGGCUUCGGCCGGUGGGUUUUUACUACCAACGUACAAACAAAU